GGGGGGGGCAAGCGUUGUUCGGAAUUACUGGGCGUAAAGGGCGCGUAGGCGGCUCGCUAAGUCGGGUGUGAAAACUCUGGGCUCAACCCAGAGCCUGCAUUCGAAACUGACGAGCUAGAGUUCUGGAGGGGAAAGCGGAAUUCCUGGUGUAGCGGUGAAAUGCGUAGAUAUCAGGAGGAACACCGGUGGCGAAGGCGGUUUUCUGGACAGAAACUGACGCUGAUGCGCGAAAGCUAGGGGAGCAAACAGGAUUAGAUACCCUGGUAGUCCUAGCCCUAAACGAUGGAUACUUGCUGUGAGGGGGAUUGAAUCCCUUCGUGGCGAAGCUAACGCAUUAAGUAUCCCGCCUGGGGAGUACGGUCGCAAGGCUG
This 371-nucleotide ribosomal RNA is filed under the name uncultured bacterium. RNAcentral describes it as "bacterial SSU rRNA". It matches the Rfam family "Bacterial small subunit ribosomal RNA", at positions 527 to 896 of the family's 1533-position model. The record is from RNAcentral.